CACUGAGAAUUUAAAGAGCCGCAGUAUUUUGACUGUGCAAAGGUAGCAUAAUCAUUAGUAUAUUAAUUGUAUACUGGGAUGAAAGGUUUGACGAGAAAUAUUCUGUCUCUUUUUAAAAUAUAGAAUUUUACUUUUUAGUAAAAAGGCUGAGAUAAAUUUUUUGGACGAUAAGACCCUAUAGAGUUUAAUUUGUUAGGUUAUUAUGGUUUGAGUUAGAAUUUAUUGUGAUAAUUAAAUUAAAUUUAGUUGGGGCGAUUUGAAUAAUAAUUAAACUAUUCAUUUGUUUUUUCAUUGAUUUAUGUGUUUAUGAUCUUUUAUUAUUGAUUUUUAGAUAAAAUUACCUUAGGGAUAACAGCGCAAUCAUCUCUGAGAGUUCUUAUUGACGGGAUGGAUUGUGACCUCGAUGUUGGAUUAAGGUUAUUAAUCAGGUGAAGGAGCUUGAUUUAAUUGGUCUGUUCGACCAUU
RNAcentral lists this ribosomal RNA (465 nucleotides) under Thoradonta spiculoba. RNAcentral describes it as "partial 16S ribosomal RNA". It matches the Rfam family "Bacterial large subunit ribosomal RNA", at positions 1910 to 2589 of the family's 2925-position model. Lineage: Eukaryota; Metazoa; Arthropoda; Insecta; Orthoptera; Tetrigidae. The record is from RNAcentral.